UACAGAGGGUGCAAGCGUUAAUCGGAAUUACUGGGCGUAAAGCGUGCGUAGACGGUUAUGUAAGUUAGGUGUGAAAGCCCCGGGCUCAACCUGGGAAUUGCAUUUAAGACUGCAUAGCUAGGGUGCGGAAGAGGGAAGCGGAAUUUCCGGUGUAGCGGUGAAAUGCGUAGAUAUCGGAGGGAACAUCAGUGGCGAAAGCGGCUUCCUGGUCCAGCACCGACGUUCAGGCACGAAAGCGUGGGGAGCAAACAGG
This 253-nucleotide ribosomal RNA is filed under the name uncultured bacterium. RNAcentral's name for it is "partial 16S ribosomal RNA". It matches the Rfam family "Bacterial small subunit ribosomal RNA", at positions 524 to 776 of the family's 1533-position model. The record is from RNAcentral.